GAUGAACGCUGGCGGCGUGCCUAAUACAUGCAAGUCGAGCGAACGGACGAGAAGCUUGCUCCUCUGACGUUAGCGGCGGACGGGUGAGUAACACGUGGAUAACCUACCUAUAAGACUGGGAUAACUUCGGGAAACCGGAGCUAAUACCGGAUAAUAUUUUGAACCGCAUGGUUCAAAAGUGAAAGACGGUCUUGCUGUCACUUAUAGAUGGAUCCGCGCUGCAUUAGCUAGUUGGUAAGGUAACGGCUUACCAAGGCAACGAUGCAUAGCCGACCUGAGAGGGUGAUCGGCCACACUGGAACUGAGACACGGUCCAGACUCCUACGGGAGGCAGCAGUAGGGAAUCUUCCGCAAUGGGCGAAAGCCCGACGGAGCAACGCCGCGUGAGUGAUGAAGGUCUUCGGAUCGUAAAACUCUGUUAUUAGGGAAGAACAUAUGUGUAAGUAACUGUGCACAUCUUGACGGUACCUAAUCAGAAAGCCACGGCUAACUACGUG
Molecule: ribosomal RNA, 497 nt
Filed under: uncultured bacterium
Lineage: Bacteria
Description: partial 16S ribosomal RNA
Rfam family: Bacterial small subunit ribosomal RNA
Source: RNAcentral